AGCAACUCAUUUUUGAUCGCCAGUUACUUGUAAAUGUGUUAAAAAUCAGUUUUGGGGUUAUCAAAAGUCUAUUUUGGUACUUGGGCAUAGUUCGAAUUAUACAGCUCUUUCUUGAUUAAAUUCGACUUACAGAGGUAACUGUGAUAGUAAACAGAUGCUACACCGGGUAUGAUUCACAGACAUGUUGCAACCUGUAGCCAUGGUUCCAACUUACAGAGAUUUAGACAGGAUUCCCAGAGGGAUUAAAGAUUGAAAACACACAACUAGCUAGAGCCGACUGUAUUAAACAAUAAAAAGCGAGCAACCAGACAGUACUUACUUUCUGAGUAACACAGUAACAGAAUUUGUUGAAUAAAGAGUUUCAC
This is a long non-coding RNA of Photinus pyralis (common eastern firefly), 365 nucleotides long. RefSeq lists it as uncharacterized. The record is from RefSeq and is a predicted model, not a curated record. The transcript is spliced from 3 exons. Lineage: Eukaryota; Metazoa; Arthropoda; Insecta; Coleoptera; Lampyridae.